Anguilla anguilla (European eel) is the source of this 1401-nucleotide long non-coding RNA. RefSeq lists it as uncharacterized. NCBI's taxonomy places the organism in Eukaryota, Metazoa, Chordata, Actinopteri, Anguilliformes, Anguillidae. The transcript has 2 exons. The record is from RefSeq and is a predicted model, not a curated record.
AGGCAUCUUCAUUUGUGCGACACUGCAACAACAGUAAGCAUGGAGGAGGUUCAAGUCGUGCUGCUGUUGAUCAUUAUUUACUGCUUUGCAAAUGGGGUAAUUGAGUCAACGCUGGAAAAGAGACGAGCAGUAGUAGCAAAGCGGAUUCAAAACGCCCGAAAUGCUUGCCUUAGAACAAGGAAACGGAUUUUACAAGCUAUUGAGGAGAUUGACCGAGAGAUGACUGAGACGGACUCGCGCCACAGCGCAGAAAGAACAAGAAAGAUAUGCGAGUACUACAGAAUGCGUCGUGUUUCGCCAUCCGUUUGGGUACACAGUAGAGCGGUGGGAAAUCGUGGUUCCAACUUUCACCGAGGCCCAGUGGAUAAAGAAUUUCCAGAUGUCUAAAGACAUUUCUGUACCUUUGCCGUCGAUUGCAACCAGAAUUAAGGAGACAUGACACAAACUACCGCUAUUGUGUACCCAUUCAAAAAAUAGUCGCCAUUGCACUGUGGAAACUUGCGACCAACUCAGAGUACAGGAGCAUCUCUCAUUUAUUUGGAGUCGGCAUUGCUACGGUGUGUCACUGUGUACACGAUUUCUGCUCCUCUGUUGAGAAGGUACUCAUGGCAGAAGUUAUUCAGUUCCCUAACAGUGAAAAAUGGCGACAUUUUGAGUGCAGAUGGGGGUUGCCACUGUGUGUAGGUGCAAUUGAUGGAUCACACAUCCCAAUUCUUGGACCAGAGGAAUACCACACAGUAUUUCAACCGCAAGGGCUGGCAUCCUGCAGGCUGCUGUGGAUGGAAGGGUCUCUUCUGGAAUGUUUUUGUUGGAGCGGUGCUGUGCUUGUCAGGGUUGUGGGGUCUAGUGGAUUUGGGUUUGCUACUCCCUGAUGAAACAAAGAACAUUUGUGGACAUGAUGUGGGGUACUAUAUCCUUGCUGACGCAGCCUAUCCUUUGAAAAGCUGGCUGAUGAAACCUUUCACAGACAAUGGACGACUGACACCCCAGCAACUUGUGUACAACCACAAAACUGGCAGAGCCAGGGUGGUGGUUGAGAACACUUUUGGCAGACUCAAGGGCAGAUGGAGGUGCUUGCUAAAACGAAAUGACUGCAACAUACACAAGGUCAAAUCCAUGGCGAUAGCUUGUGUUCUGCAUAACCUCUGUGAAAUGAACGGUGAUGAGUACAGAGAAGAAUGGGGAGCCACUGCAUUAAACCAGCCUGAUGGGGCACUGUCAUCCACUGUAGAAGCCGAGAGGCUAGACGCACGUACAGGUCUAAUGAAGUUUCUGAACACAUUGUAGUACAGUGUCAGAUUACUAGCUGAAGGUCAAAUCCAUGGUGAUAGCAUGUUGUUCUGUGAAGAGGUUACACCUAUGUACCUUUCCUUUUAUCAAUAAAAAUUUGUUACAGCUGCA